GGCUUAGCAGUUCUGAGAUGCAACAGGAUAAGUCAGACACAAUGUGCUAUGGAGAGGAUCAAAUUCUGUGGCAACUGGAUGUACAAGUUAAAAGCUGACUUGGCAGGUGCAGGCUUGGCCGUCCUGGGCAAUGAGUUGGAUCUUCAAAGACCCGACGUGCAGUGGAGUUGCCGGCUGACCCUGUGCCUGCAGACAGCACACGUUGAGGAGUGACAGGUGGCUGGGAGCCCAGUGACUUGCUGGCUUUGGCUCAAAUAAAAG
Long non-coding RNA from Myiozetetes cayanensis, 261 nucleotides. RefSeq lists it as uncharacterized. The transcript is spliced from 3 exons. Lineage: Eukaryota; Metazoa; Chordata; Aves; Passeriformes; Tyrannidae. The record is from RefSeq and is a predicted model, not a curated record.